Molecule: transfer RNA, 82 nt
Filed under: Phycisphaeraceae bacterium
Lineage: Bacteria; Pseudomonadati; Planctomycetota; Phycisphaerae; Phycisphaerales; Phycisphaeraceae
Description: tRNA-Tyr
Rfam family: tRNA
About the family: Transfer RNA (tRNA) molecules are approximately 80 nucleotides in length.
Source: RNAcentral
GGGCGAGUACCCAAGUGGACAACGGGGGCAGACUGUAAAUCUGCUGGCUUAGCCUUCGGGGGUUCGAAUCCCUCCUCGCCCA